UACGUAGGGGGCAAGCGUUGUCCGGAAUCAUUGGGCGUAAAGAGCGUGUAGGCGGCCAGAUAAGUCCGCUGUGAAAUCUCGAGGCUCAACUUCGAGCUGUCGGUGGAAACUGUCUGGCUAGAGUCCGGAGGAGGAGAAUGGAAUUCCUGGUGUAGCGGUGAAAUGCGCAGAUAUCAGGAAGAACACCCGUGGCGAAGGCGGUUCUCUGGGACGGUACUGACGCUGAGACGCGAAAGCGUGGGGAGCGAACAGG
Molecule: ribosomal RNA, 253 nt
Filed under: uncultured bacterium
Lineage: Bacteria
Description: partial 16S ribosomal RNA
Rfam family: Bacterial small subunit ribosomal RNA
Source: RNAcentral